CGGACGGGUGAGUAAUGCCUAGGAAUCUGCCUGGUAGUGGGGGACAACGUUUCGAAAGGAACGCUAAUACCGCAUACGUCCUACGGGAGAAAGCAGGGACCUUCGGGCCUUGCGCUAUCAGAUGAGCCUAGGUCGGAUUAGCUAGUUGGUGAGGUAAUGGCUCACCAAGGCGACGAUCCGUAACUGGCCUGAGAGGAUGAUCAGUCACACUGGAACUGAGACACGGUCCAGACUCCUACGGGAGGCAGCAGCU
This 253-nucleotide ribosomal RNA is filed under the name uncultured Pseudomonas sp. Its description in RNAcentral is "partial 16S ribosomal RNA". It matches the Rfam family "Bacterial small subunit ribosomal RNA", at positions 99 to 355 of the family's 1533-position model. Lineage: Bacteria; Pseudomonadati; Pseudomonadota; Gammaproteobacteria; Pseudomonadales; Pseudomonadaceae. The record is from RNAcentral.